This 253-nucleotide ribosomal RNA is filed under the name uncultured bacterium. Its description in RNAcentral is "partial 16S ribosomal RNA". It matches the Rfam family "Bacterial small subunit ribosomal RNA", at positions 524 to 776 of the family's 1533-position model. The record is from RNAcentral.
GACGGAGGAUGCAAGUGUUAUCCGGAAUCACUGGGCGUAAAGCGUCUGUAGGUGGUCAAAUAAGUCAACUGUUAAAUCUUGAGGCUCAACCUCAAAAUCGCAGUCGAAACUAUUAGACUAGAGUAUAGUAGGGGUAAAGGGAAUUUCCAGUGGAGCGGUGAAAUGCGUAGAGAUUGGAAAGAGCACCGAUGGCGAAGGCACUUUACUGGGCUAUUACUAACACUGAGAGACGAAAGCUAGGGUAGCAAAUGGG